RNAcentral lists this ribosomal RNA (387 nucleotides) under uncultured bacterium. RNAcentral's name for it is "bacterial SSU rRNA". It matches the Rfam family "Bacterial small subunit ribosomal RNA", at positions 30 to 419 of the family's 1533-position model. The record is from RNAcentral.
AUUGAACGCUGGCGGCAUGCCUUACACGUGCAAGUCGAACGGCAGCGGACCUUCGGGUGCCGGCGAGUGGCGAACGGGUGAGUAAUAUAUCGGAACGUACCUUUCAGUGGGGGAUAACGUAGCGAAAGUUACGCUAAUACCGCAUAUUCUGUGAGCAGGAAAGCAGGGGAUCGCAAGACCUUGCGCUGAUUGAGCGGCCGAUAUCAGAUUAGCUAGUUGGUGAGGUAAAGGCUCACCAAGGCGACGAUCUGUAGCGGGUCUGAGAGGAUGAUCCGCCACACUGGAACUGAGACACGGUCCAGACUCCUACGGGAGGCAGCAGUGGGGAAUUUUGGACAAUGGGCGCAAGCCUGAUCCAGCCAUGCCGCGUGAGUGAAGAAGGCCUGG